ACUCCUACGGGAGGCAGCAGUGGGGAAUAUUGGACAAUGGGCGCAAGCCUGAUCCAGCCAUGCCGCGUGAGUGAUGAAGGCCCUAGGGUUGUAAAGCUCUUUCACCGGUGAAGAUAAUGACGGUAACCGGAGAAGAAGCCCCGACUAACUUCGUGCCAGCAGCCGCGGUAAUACGAAGGGGGCUAGCGUUGUUCGGAUUUACUGGGCGUAAAGCGCACGUAGGCGGACUAUUAAGUCAGGGGUGAAAUCCCGGGGCUCAACCCCGGAACUGCCUUUGAUACUGGUAGUCUUGAGUUCGAGAGAGGUGAGUGGAAUUCCGAGUGUAGAGGUGAAAUUCGUAGAUAUUCGGAGGAACACCAGUGGCGAAGGCGGCUCACUGGCUCGAUACUGACGCUGAGGUGCGAAAGCGUGGGGAGCAAACAGGAUUAGAAACCCCUGUAGUCC
Molecule: ribosomal RNA, 444 nt
Filed under: uncultured organism
Description: partial 16S ribosomal RNA
Rfam family: Bacterial small subunit ribosomal RNA
Source: RNAcentral